GACGAACGCUGGCGGCGUGCUUAACACAUGCAAGUCGAACGGAAAGGCCUGCUUUCCCUUGUGGAUUGCGGGUACUCGAGUGGCGAACGGGUGAGUAACACGUGAGUGAUCUGCCCCCAACUUGGGUAUAAGCCUGGGAAACUGGGUCUAAUUCCCGAUAGGACUGCAGGGUGGUGCCUGUGGUGGAAAACGAUUUUCUAGUGGUUGGGGAUGAGCUCGCGGCCUAUCAGCUUGUUGGUGGGGUAAUGGCCUACCAAGGCGGCGACGGGUAGCCGGCCUGAGAGGGUGGACGGCCACAUUGGGACUGGGAUACGGCCCAGACUCCUACGGGAGGCAGCAGUGGGGAAUAUUGCACAAUGGGCGGAAGCGUGAUGCAGCGACGCCGCGUGGGGGAUGACGGCCUUCGGGUUGUAAGCUCCUUUCGACCGCGAGGAAGCCACCUGGUUGGGAGGGUGGUGACGGUAGUGGUAGAAGAAGCACCGGCUAACUACGUG
RNAcentral lists this ribosomal RNA (494 nucleotides) under uncultured bacterium. Its description in RNAcentral is "partial 16S ribosomal RNA". It matches the Rfam family "Bacterial small subunit ribosomal RNA", at positions 28 to 507 of the family's 1533-position model. The record is from RNAcentral.